RNAcentral lists this ribosomal RNA (253 nucleotides) under uncultured bacterium. Its description in RNAcentral is "partial 16S ribosomal RNA". It matches the Rfam family "Bacterial small subunit ribosomal RNA", at positions 524 to 776 of the family's 1533-position model. The record is from RNAcentral.
UACGGAGGGGGCUAGCGUUGUUCGGAAUUACUGGGCGUAAAGCGCGCGUAGGCGGCUUUGUAAGUUAGAGGUGAAAGCCCGAAGCUCAACUUCGGAAUUGCCUUUAAGACUGCAUCGCUAGAAUUGUGGAGAGGUAAGUGGAAUUCCGAGUGUAGAGGUGAAAUUCGUAGAUAUUCGGAAGAACACCAGUGGCGAAGGCGACUUACUGGACACAUAUUGACGCUGAGGCGCGAAAGCGUGGGGAGCAAACAGG